GUCGUGAGAUGUUGGGUUAAGUCCCGCAACGAGCGCAACCCCCGUCUCUAGUUACCAGCGGGUAAAGCCGGGCACUCUAGAGAGACUGCCGGUGCCAAACCGGAGGAAGGUGGGGACGACGUCAAGUCAUCAUGGUCCUUACGUCCAGGGCUACACACGUGCUACAAUGGGCGGGACAAAGGGUUGCAAAGUCGCAAGGCGGAGCCAAUCCCGUAAACCCGUCCUCAGUUCGGAUUGUCCUCUGCAACCCGAGGGCAUGAAGCUGGAAUCGCUAGUAAUCGUGGAUCAGCUACGCCACGGUGAAUACGUUCCCGGGCCUUGUACACACCGCCCGUCACGCCAUGGAAGCUGUGAGCGCCCGAAGUCCGUGCAGCAACCCGCAAGGGAGCAAGCGGCCGAAGGCGAGCGCAGUGACUGGGGCGAAGUCGUAACGAGGUAGCCGUACCGGAAGGUGCGGCUGGAUCACCUCCUUUCUAAGGAGUCCUGGCAACCGCCACCCGUGGCGGAAGCAAGGUCGAUCACUGGCUAUUCGGCCGAGCACGCUCGAUCUCUCAACCAAGUACGACCCUCGGGUCGGAACGGAUGAGGGGCGUCGCGUUCGGCCCGGCACACUGUUCAGCUCUGGGGGUGCGAGCCUCCGAGCACCUUGAGAACUCGAUAGCGAGCGCGAGCAUCUAUCUGCCAAGUUACUAAGGGCUCACGGUGGAUGCCUUGGCGCCAGGAGCCGAUGAAGGACGCGUCAGGCUGCGAAAAGCUCCGGGGAGCCGCCGAGAAGGCUGAGAUCCGGAGGUGU
Molecule: small RNA, 793 nt
Filed under: uncultured Gemmatimonas sp.
Lineage: Bacteria; Pseudomonadati; Gemmatimonadota; Gemmatimonadia; Gemmatimonadales; Gemmatimonadaceae
Description: bacterial SSU rRNA
Rfam family: Bacterial small subunit ribosomal RNA (bases 1-473)
Source: RNAcentral